This 352-nucleotide unclassified non-coding RNA is filed under the name soil metagenome. RNAcentral describes it as "partial contains 5.8S ribosomal RNA, internal transcribed spacer 2, and large subunit ribosomal RNA". The stretch from base 1 to 120 matches the Rfam family "5.8S ribosomal RNA", at positions 35 to 154 of the family's 154-position model. The record is from RNAcentral.
GAUGAAGAACGCAGCGAAAUGCGAUAAGUACUGUGAAUUGCAGAAUUCAGUGAAUCAUCGAAUCUUUGAACGCACAUUGCGCCCGCCAGUAUUCUGGCGGGCAUGCCUGUUCGAGCGUCAUUACAACCCUCAGGCCCCCGGGCCUGGCGUUGGGGAUCGGCGGAGCCCCCCGUGGGCACACGCCGUCCCCCAAAUGCAGUGGCGGUCCCGCCGCAGCUUCCAUCGCGUAGUAGCUAACACCUCGCGACUGGAGAGCGGCGCGGCCACGCCGUAAAACACCCAACUCUUCUGAAGUUGACCUCGAAUCAGGUAGGAAUACCCGCUGAACUUAAGCAUAUCAAUAAGCGGAGGA